CCUACGGGAGGCAGCAGUGGGGAAUUUUGGACAAUGGGAGAAAGCCUGAUCCAGCAAUGCCGCGUGUGGGAGGAAGGCCUUCGGGUUGUAAUCCUAUUUUGUACGGAAAGAAACAGUCUGCAUUAAUACGGUGGGCCCAUGACGGUACCGUAAGAAUAAGCACCGGCUAACUACGUGCCAGCAGCCGCGGUAAU
RNAcentral lists this ribosomal RNA (194 nucleotides) under uncultured beta proteobacterium. Its description in RNAcentral is "partial 16S ribosomal RNA". It matches the Rfam family "Bacterial small subunit ribosomal RNA", at positions 338 to 524 of the family's 1533-position model. The record is from RNAcentral. Lineage: Bacteria; Pseudomonadati; Pseudomonadota; Betaproteobacteria.